Molecule: non-coding RNA, 74 nt
Organism: Ameiurus melas (black bullhead)
Lineage: Eukaryota; Metazoa; Chordata; Actinopteri; Siluriformes; Ictaluridae
Source: the annotation of a GenBank genome assembly
GGAAGUGGUGGCUCAGUGGUUAAGACGUUGGACGUCAGAUCGGAAGGUCGAGAGUUCAAAUCCCAGCAUUGCCA